CGCAUCUGUGCAUGCAGCAUAUCAAUAAGCGGAGGAAAAGAAACUAACAAGGAUUCCCCUAGUAACGGCGAGUGAAGCGGGAAGAGCUCAAAUUUGAAAUCUUAAAGGGUUUCCCUUUACGAAUUGUAGUUUAAAGAAGUGUUUUCUGUUGAGGUUUUGGUAAAAGUUCUUUGGAAUAGGACAUCAUAGAGGGUGAGAAUCCCGUAUUUGACCUUUACUUUCAACUUUGUGAUACACUUUCAAAGAGUCGGAUUGUUUGGGAAUGCAGUCCAAAAUGGGUGGUAAAUUUCAUCUAAAGCUAAAUAUUGGCGAGAGACCGAUAGCGAACAAGUACCGUGAGGGAAAGAUGAAAAGAACUUUGAAAAGAGAGUUAAACAGUACGUGAAAUUGUCAAAAGGGAAGCGUUUGACACCAGUGUUGUUUUUCUGAAAAUCAAUUAAAGAACUGUUUAUGCUAAGUUGUUUAGACUUUAUCAGCUAACUGUUUAGUUUCGAGCUUUUCUUUAAUGCACUUUUCAGUUAACAAGUCGACAUCAAUUUCUUUUGCUGUAAAAAAGCUUGAGGAAGGUGGCUUGAGAUUCGUCUUAAGUGUUUAUAGCCUCUUGCCUAUGCAGUCGGAGAGAUUGAGGUCUGCAGCGUAGAUCCUUCGGGGCUAAAUGCAUUUGUGCUAAGUUAUAGCAUUUUAUAGACAACUUGUUGACUAUGAUUUGUCUUGUAGCUUACUCGCUUAUGUUAUUUUACCUACGCUUAGGAUGUUGAACGCGCACAGAGUCUC
Molecule: ribosomal RNA, 774 nt
Filed under: uncultured Neocallimastigales
Lineage: Eukaryota; Fungi; Neocallimastigomycota; Neocallimastigomycetes; Neocallimastigales
Description: partial large subunit ribosomal RNA
Rfam family: Eukaryotic large subunit ribosomal RNA
Source: RNAcentral